GAAACUUGUUAAAUGAAGUAAACUUUGUGUUUAGAUUUGUUCUUGCCCCAAGAAACUCUGCUUGUGAUAAGUCAUUUUAAUUAAUAACUCUGCUUGGCGACAAUGUGUUUUGAAAGAGCAGGGGACUCCUACUGGGAGAAAAAGUCUAAGGUUGCUGGUCUUAGGGCAACUGCAAACCAUUUGCGUGAUUUGAAUCCUGAGGAUGUGCACGAAAUUCUUAGGCAAGCUGCUGAAAUUUUUGAAGGAAUAGGAAUAAUUAAUAUUGUAGCUCAAUGUCUUUCAGAUUUGGGGGAUCAUGAAAAAGCUGCGUCUUCUUCUAGCACCUUCUACACCAACCUCAAGUUUUGCACCAAACCCAACAGUAACAAAGCUUUUUCUUUGUCACAAGAAUAAUAAUAAUCAUAUAUCAUGAAGACAACAUCAAUAACAUCAACAGCAACUUGAACUGAAGGAAACUCAUAUUGAGAAGCAGUAAAAUAGCAACCAUUGGUGCUAUCUUCAAUUUCUAAA
This is a non-coding RNA of Arachis ipaensis, 510 nucleotides long. Lineage: Eukaryota; Viridiplantae; Streptophyta; Magnoliopsida; Fabales; Fabaceae. The record is from RefSeq and is a predicted model, not a curated record.